RNAcentral lists this ribosomal RNA (388 nucleotides) under uncultured methanogenic archaeon. RNAcentral describes it as "bacterial SSU rRNA". It matches the Rfam family "Archaeal small subunit ribosomal RNA", at positions 38 to 437 of the family's 1478-position model. Lineage: Archaea; Methanobacteriati; Methanobacteriota. The record is from RNAcentral.
GAUCGAUUAGCAUGCGAGUCGAGAGGUGCAAGACCUCGGCAUACUGCUCAGUAACACGUGGAUAACCUACCCUAUGGAGGGGGAUAACCCCGGGAAACUGGGGAUAAUACCCCAUAGACUAUGGAUGCUGGAAUGCCCUGUAGUUGAAAGGUCCGCCGCCAUAGGAUGGGUCUGCGGCCGAUUAGGUUGUUGUUGGGGUAACGGCCCAACAAGCCUGUAAUCGGUACGGGUUGUGGGAGCAAGAGCCCGGAGAUGGAUUCUGAGGCACGAAUCUAGGCCCUACGGGGCGCAGCAGGCGCGAAAACUUUACAAUGCGGGAAACCGUGAUAAGGGAACUCCGAGUGCCCGUAAAAUCGGGCUGUCCAUCUGUUUAAAUAACAGGUGAAGA